Long non-coding RNA from Lycium barbarum (goji berry), 723 nucleotides. RefSeq lists it as uncharacterized. The transcript is spliced from 2 exons. The record is from RefSeq and is a predicted model, not a curated record. Lineage: Eukaryota; Viridiplantae; Streptophyta; Magnoliopsida; Solanales; Solanaceae.
CCCCAAAAAAUUAAAAAAUCCCCAAAGACUAAAUCUUCCCCCCAAUAAUUUUAAACUUAAUCAAAUACUACUCCCACGAAUAAAAGCUGGAACCCUAACCUUUUCCCUUCCCCCAAUUCCCUUUACGUCAUAGGCUGCACCGGCGGCCUAAUUUCUCCAUUUCUCUUCUCUCUCUCUCUGCUUGAAUUUUAUUUGUCAUUUACUUUUCUUGAUUUAUUUUUUCUUUUGUAGGUUUUACGAAGUGGAGUCCCGAAAGAGAUUAAUUGUAUAAUAUGAUUGUUGCAUUGGAUCAUAUUUUUGUGGAUGUGAAGAGAUCUCUUUCUCAUCUUCAUCAGAAGUCGAUAUGCAAAAAUUAGAGUCAAGAAGAGAAGUCUUUUGAAGAGGAUGCAUGUUGUCAUAGAGAUUCAAGAUGCUGCUUUGUAUGAAGGCUCAACAAGUGACAAUCAAUGAAUUGGUGUUUUUGUGGUCACUAGUCAAUAUUAGAUUUUAUUUAUAGCAUUCUCAGCUUAGGAGAAAAUUUUGUAUUCUUCGGGAACCAUAUAUUUAAUGGUGUGCACGAGAUUUUUCAAAAGUUUGUCGAAGUGACUCUUUUGUUUAAUUCAAAGUUCUAUUGUAGUGUAUAACUUGUGUACUGGAAUUAUAUGAUUCAUCGUGGCAUUAAAUUAGAUUUUUUCAGUAUAUAAAAAAGAAAAAUGAUGCUAUUGACUAGAGAUGAUUUUCCGA